AUUGAACGCUGGCGGCAGGCUUAACACAUGCAAGUCGAACGGUAACAGAAAGCAGCUUGCUGCUUUGCUGACGAGUGGCGGACGGGUGAGUAAUGUCUGGGAAACUGCCCGAUGGAGGGGGAUAACUACUGGAAACGGUAGCUAAUACCGCAUAACGUCGCAAGACCAAAGAGGGGGACCUCCGGGCCUCUUGCCAUCGGAUGUGCCCAGAUGGGAUUAGCUAGUAGGUGGGGUAACGGCUCACCUAGGCGACGAUCCCUAGCUGGUCUGAGAGGAUGACCAGCCACACUGGAACUGAGACACGGUCCAGACUCCUACGGGAGGCAGCAGUGGGGAAUAUUGCACAAUGGGCGCAAGCCUGAUGCAGCCAUGCCGCGUGUAUGAAGAAGGCCUUCGGGUUGUAAAGUACUUUCAGCGGGGAGGAAGGGAGUAAAGUUAAUACCUUUGCUCAUUGACUUACCCGCAGAAGAGCACCGGU
Molecule: ribosomal RNA, 478 nt
Filed under: Escherichia coli
Lineage: Bacteria; Pseudomonadati; Pseudomonadota; Gammaproteobacteria; Enterobacterales; Enterobacteriaceae
Description: bacterial SSU rRNA
Rfam family: Bacterial small subunit ribosomal RNA
Source: RNAcentral